RNAcentral lists this ribosomal RNA (433 nucleotides) under uncultured bacterium. Its description in RNAcentral is "partial 16S ribosomal RNA". It matches the Rfam family "Bacterial small subunit ribosomal RNA", at positions 29 to 507 of the family's 1533-position model. The record is from RNAcentral.
AACGAACGCUGGCGGCAUGCCUAACACAUGCAAGUCGAACGAGACCUUCGGGUCUAGUGGCGCACGGGUGCGUAACGCGUGGGAACCUGCCCUUAGGUUCGGAAUAACUCCCCGAAAGGGGUGCUAAUACCGGAUAAUGUCUUCGGACCAAAGAUUUAUCGCCUUUGGAUGGGCCCGCGUUGGAUUAGCUAGUUGGUAGGGUAAAAGCCUACCAAGGCGACGAUCCAUAGCUGGUCUGAGAGGAUGAUCAGCCACACUGGGACUGAGACACGGCCCAGACUCCUACGGGAGGCAGCAGUGGGGACUAUUGGACAAUGGGCGAAAGCCUGAUCCAGCAAUGCCGCGUGAGUGAUGAAGGCCUUAGGGUUGUAAAGCUCUUUUACCCGGGAUGAUAAUGACAGUACCGGGAGAAUAAGCGCCGGCUAACUCCGUG